GACGAACGCUGGCGGCGUGCUUAACACAUGCAAGUCGAACGGAAAGGCCCUGCUUUUGUGGGGUGCUCGAUUGGCGAACGGGUGAGUAACACGUGAGUAACCUGCCCUUGACUUUGGGAUAACUUCAGGAAACUGGGUCUAAUACCGGAUAGGAGCUUUUGCUCCACGGUGGGCGUUGGAAAGAUUCGGCGUUUGGGGAUGGACUGGCGGCUUAUCAGCUUGUUGGUGGGGUAGUGGCUUACCAAGGCUUUGACGGGUAGCCGGCCUGAGAGGGGGACCGGCCACAUUAGGACUGAGGUACGGCCCAGCCUCGUACGGGAGGCAGCAGUGGUGAAUAUUGCGCAAUGGCCGGAAGCCUGAGGCAGAGGCGCCGCGAGCGGAAUAACGGCCUUCGGGUUGUGAACCGCUGUCGCCUGAGACGAAGCGUGAGUGACGGUAAUGGGUCAAGAAGCCCCGGCUAACUACGUG
This 468-nucleotide ribosomal RNA is filed under the name uncultured bacterium. RNAcentral's name for it is "partial 16S ribosomal RNA". It matches the Rfam family "Bacterial small subunit ribosomal RNA", at positions 28 to 507 of the family's 1533-position model. The record is from RNAcentral.